RNAcentral lists this ribosomal RNA (275 nucleotides) under uncultured bacterium. Its description in RNAcentral is "partial 16S ribosomal RNA". It matches the Rfam family "Bacterial small subunit ribosomal RNA", at positions 79 to 353 of the family's 1533-position model. The record is from RNAcentral.
CUAAGUUUGAUGGCGACCGGCGUACGGGUGAGUAACACGUAUCCAACCUGCCGAUGACUCGGGGAUAGCCUUUCGAAAGAAAGAUUAAUACCCGAUGGCAUAGUUCUUCCGCAUGGUGGAACUAUUAAAGAAUUUCGGUCAUCGAUGGGGAUGCGUUCCAUUAGGUUGUUGGCGGGGUAACGGCCCACCAAGCCUUCGAUGGAUAGGGGUUCUGAGAGGAAGGUCCCCCACAUUGGAACUGAGACACGGUCCAAACUCCUACGGGAGGCAGCAUG